This 416-nucleotide ribosomal RNA is filed under the name uncultured eukaryote. RNAcentral's name for it is "bacterial SSU rRNA". It matches the Rfam family "Eukaryotic small subunit ribosomal RNA", at positions 592 to 1013 of the family's 1831-position model. The record is from RNAcentral.
CAAUAGCGUAUAUUAAAGUUGUUGCGGUUAAAAAGCUCGUAGUUGGAUUUCUGUUGAGAACAACCGGUCCACCUCUUGGGUGAGUAUCUGGUCUGGUCUCGGCAUCCUCGUUAGAGACGUUAAUGCGCUUCGUUGCGUGUUGCGGAGCUAGCGACUUUACUUUGAGGAAAUUAGAGUGUUCACGGCAGGCAUUCGCCUUGAAUAUAUUAGCAUGGAAUAAUAAUAUAGGACUUUGGUUCUAUUUUGUUGGUUUCUAGGACCGAAGUAAUGAUUAAUAGGGACAGUUGGGGGCAUUCAUAUUCCAUUGUCAGAGGUGAAAUUCUUGGAUUAACGGAAGAUGAACUUCUGCGAAAGCAUCUGCCAAGGAUGUUUUCAUUGAUCAAGAACGAAAGUUAGGGGAUCGAAGACGAUCAGAU